UACAGAGGAUGCAAGCGUUAUCCGGAAUCAUUGGGCGUAAAGCGUACCGAUAGGUGGUUUAGAAAGUUUUGGGUAAAAGCCAGAAGCUCAACUUCUGAGUUUGCUCAAAAUACUUCUCAACUAGAGGGGCAAAGAGGUCCUUGGAACGAACGGUGUAGUAGUGAAAUGCGUUGAUAUCGUUCGGAACACCGAAAGCGAAGGCAGAGGACUGGGUGCCACCUGACACUACUAGGACGAAAGCGUGGGGAGCGAAUGGG
RNAcentral lists this ribosomal RNA (257 nucleotides) under uncultured bacterium. RNAcentral describes it as "partial 16S ribosomal RNA". It matches the Rfam family "Bacterial small subunit ribosomal RNA", at positions 524 to 776 of the family's 1533-position model. The record is from RNAcentral.